This 472-nucleotide ribosomal RNA is filed under the name uncultured bacterium. RNAcentral describes it as "partial 16S ribosomal RNA". It matches the Rfam family "Bacterial small subunit ribosomal RNA", at positions 28 to 523 of the family's 1533-position model. The record is from RNAcentral.
GAUGAACGCUGACAGAAUGCUUAACACAUGCAAGUCUACUUGAUCCUUCGGGUGAUGGUGGCGGACGGGUGAGUAACGCGUAAAGAACUUGCCCUGCAGUCUGGGACAACAGUUGGAAACGAAUGCUAAUACCGGAUAUUAUGUGAGUUUCGCAUGAAAUUCAUAUGAAAGCUAUAUGCGCUGCAGGAGAGCUUUGCGUCCUAUUAGCUAGUUGGUGAGGUAACGGCUCACCAAGGCGAUGAUAGGUAGCCGGCCUGAGAGGGUGAACGGCCAACAGGGGACUGAGAUACGGCACUGACUCCUACGGGAGGCAGCAGUGGGGAGUAUUGGAAAGUGGACCAAAAGUCUGCUCGAGCAAUUCUGUGUGCAAGAUGAAGUUUUUCGGAGUGUAAAGUGCUUUCAGUUGGGACGAAGUAAGUGACGGUACCAACAGAAGAAGCGACGGCUAAAUACGUGCCAGCCGCCGCAGUAA